UAAAUCUUCGACUCCUUCAGAAAUGGACCAAAUGAGUCUAAAUCUAAUAACCACAAAAUUCCCGUGGGCAGACUUCGCCGCCUGGAAGUAAGAUAAGCAAUGAAGAAAUGCUGAGCUAUAUGUAUGAAUCUUUGAAAAGGAUUGAGGAUAUAUGAGAUACUUUUCUUCCUAUUUAUCUAUGUACUAUGCGUACUUCGCUGCUAAACGUUGCUGCUAUAACUCUAUCGUCAUUAACAUUGUCCACAAAAGGAAGUUUUAUCCCACACUGUUAUUUUAGAAAACAAUUUACACCUUUAUAAUCUUCAGAGUAGAGUAUACAUAGCACGACCUUACUUGAACAGGAUCUGUUCUAUAGUAUUCGUACCUCUGUAUCUUUGAGUUCUAAAGAGACAGAAAACCAAGUUUGGUGGAUGAAUCAUGACCGUGCGAUCUGAGCGUGAUUAACGGCUACCAUUGAUCUACUGGUCUCUGGCGCUGUAGAUGAUCGUUCCUCAGUUCCUUUGUGAUCUUGAGGAAGAUCGCACGGUUGUCUGACAGACUUCAAAAACUUUUUUAAUGUUUUACCCAAUUUUUAUUGUAACAUUGAACUGAAAUUUAGUUGGUGUCUUUUUUAUUUUUUGGGGUGAAAAAAGAUGAAUGGGAAAUUUGGAGGUGGGAAGCUUCCAACCGGAACGCCGUCCAUGGCAAGGUCGACUGUGGUUGUUGUUCUCUCUCUUCUGGGUGGCGCCUCCGUUGUCCACAACAUAUACAAGCCUGACCUUACUUUGCCAUCUCCGGAAGAAGUGAGUGAGGAUAAGCAAAAGAAUGAGAAGCAAUGAUUCUAUCUAGCUUUCUGUCUUUCGAUCCUCUUGUAAGUUUGACUUGAGCAAUGAAUAAUGCCAUCAUAAACUUUGCUUUCAAGCUAAAUCAACGAAUCUUUGAAUGAAAUUAAGGAUAUCAAGUAAACAUUUUCUUUGGC
Long non-coding RNA from Spinacia oleracea (spinach), 958 nucleotides. RefSeq lists it as uncharacterized. The transcript has 2 exons. The record is from RefSeq and is a predicted model, not a curated record. Lineage: Eukaryota; Viridiplantae; Streptophyta; Magnoliopsida; Caryophyllales; Amaranthaceae.